AAGGACUAGUCAGUAACUUUAGAAUUUCUGCCACGGAAAUUAUUUUUCUUAAACUUACUAAAAGAGUAGUUAGUUAUAUUGCUAGUAAAAUUAUUUUAUUGAUAUAAGAAGCCUAACUUUGUUUGAAAAGUCUAAAUUUUAGUCUAGUCUACAGUUGUCAAACAAAUAGCAAAUCGUACCCCUACCUUAAAAAUAUUUUCAAAAAGUAUCUAUAAUCUUAUAGGAAUAAAUAUUUUAGGCUUGAAUACUAGUUUUAUUUUUGAAAUUUAAAAAGGCAAAUUAGUUCUAGGCUGGUGUCCCAUUGAAUUUUAAGCAGAGCUCCUGUUGAAAUGUACGUAAGCAUCUUCCCAGCAAAUAAAAAUUGUCUCCGCUGGGGGUUUCAGUUUUACCUGAUUUGUACCUAAGGCAAGCUGAAUACAAACAGUAAAUAUGCCUAAAAUUCUUGUUUUACAACUAAUUUUACUUUCCACAGGUUGCUGGUGGUAGGAAUGUUCCACCCGCAGUACAAAAAGUAUCACAGGCUUCUAUUGACCAGAGCAGGCAGAUGAAAUACCAGUCUUUUAAUGAGUACCGCAAACGCUUUAUGCUGAAGCCUUAUGAAUCAUUUGAAGAACUUACAGGAGAAAAGGAAAUGUCUGCAGAGUUGGAAGCACUCUAUGGUGACAUCGAUGCUAUGGAGCUGUAUCCUGGCCUUCUGGUAGAAAAGCCUCGUCCAGAUGCCAUCUUUGGUGAGACCAUGGUAGAAGUUGGAGCACCAUUCUCCUUGAAAGGACUUAUGGGUAAUGUUAUAUGUUCUCCUGCCUACUGGAAGCCAAGCACUUUUGGUGGAGAAGUGGGUUUUCAAAUCAUCAACACUGCCUCAAUUCAGUCUCUCAUCUGCAAUAACG
RNAcentral lists this small RNA (887 nucleotides) under Pongo abelii (Sumatran orangutan). Its description in RNAcentral is "processed transcript". Lineage: Eukaryota; Metazoa; Chordata; Mammalia; Primates; Hominidae. The record is from RNAcentral.